Molecule: non-coding RNA, 340 nt
Organism: Pelobates cultripes (western spadefoot toad)
Lineage: Eukaryota; Metazoa; Chordata; Amphibia; Anura; Pelobatidae
Source: the annotation of a GenBank genome assembly
CAAACAGAGCGUAAUGGCAUGUUUCAUUAGGUCAGGCUUCUCUCACAGGUCUUCACAAGGGAUUAUUGGUCUGUGGAGAUUUGGUUUGUGAGUCUUUAGUUGUUUAUAUUGGAAUUUCUACAUGAGUGUACUAGUUGAGUCCCCUUAGAAUAUAACGUAGUUGGUUUGACUGUGCCUGACAUGAGUGGUUUAUUAUAUAGGGUCAAAAAGGACGUGUUCCCUGCACAACCUGUGACAGUAGUGAUGAAGUAAUUUUUACUGGGCACUAUUUAGUGUCGGUAGGAUAUAGUGGAAUUUUUACCGGAGGACCCAUUUGACUAGUUUUAGUGCAUCUUAGUAU